UCCACUGAACCUUAUCAUUUAGAGGAAGGAGAAGUCG
RNAcentral lists this ribosomal RNA (37 nucleotides) under Coffea charrieriana. RNAcentral describes it as "partial 18S ribosomal RNA". Lineage: Eukaryota; Viridiplantae; Streptophyta; Magnoliopsida; Gentianales; Rubiaceae. The record is from RNAcentral.